AAAGCACACAGAGUUCACUGAAUGGCAGGAACUGAGUCAAGAGAAACAGCUCAAGCUAGAAGUCCAUAACUGAACAUAGUAGAGACUACAAGAGUGAGGGGAUCACAACUUGCAAGACUAGUAGACAACUUUCAGCCUGGUUUUCUCACAGCUGCAAAAGAAAAGCUGUCUGUGGAGUCUACACAGUACAGCUUUGCUGAGGCAAGUCUUAACCCUCUGACAUGUC
Lonchura striata (white-rumped munia) is the source of this 226-nucleotide non-coding RNA. The record is from RefSeq and is a predicted model, not a curated record. NCBI's taxonomy places the organism in Eukaryota, Metazoa, Chordata, Aves, Passeriformes, Estrildidae.